Molecule: ribosomal RNA, 459 nt
Filed under: uncultured bacterium
Lineage: Bacteria
Description: partial 16S ribosomal RNA
Rfam family: Bacterial small subunit ribosomal RNA
Source: RNAcentral
CCUACGGGAGGCGGCAGUGAGGAAUAUUGGUCAAUGGGCGAGAGCCUGAACCAGCCAAGUCGCGUGAGGGAUGACGGUCCUAUGGAUUGUAAACCUCUUUUGUCGGGGAACAACGGCGUCCACGUGUGGACUGAUGAGUGUCCCCGAAGAAAAAGCAUCGGCUAACUCCGUGCCAGCAGCCGCGGUAAUUCGGAGGAUUCGAGCGGUAUCCGGAUUUAUUGGGUUAAAGGGGUGCGUAGGCGGACAGUCAAGUUGGCGGUAAAAAUGCGGUGCUAAACGCCGUACAGCCGUUGAAACUGGCAGUCUUGAGGGGGAGAGAAGUAUGCGGAAUGCGUGGUGUAGCGGUGAAAUGCAUAGAUAUCACGCAGAACUCCGAUUGCGAAGGCAGCAUACCGGCGCCCUACUGACGCUGAGGCACGAAAGCGUGGGUAUCGAACAGGAUUAGAUACCCUUGUAGUC